This 163-nucleotide ribosomal RNA is filed under the name Gesnouinia arborea. Its description in RNAcentral is "5.8S ribosomal RNA". It matches the Rfam family "5.8S ribosomal RNA". From Rfam's summary of the family: 5.8S ribosomal RNA (5.8S rRNA) is a component of the large subunit of the eukaryotic ribosome. It is transcribed by RNA polymerase I as part of the 45S precursor that also contains 18S and 28S rRNA. Lineage: Eukaryota; Viridiplantae; Streptophyta; Magnoliopsida; Rosales; Urticaceae. The record is from RNAcentral.
UAAUGACUCUCGGCAACGGAUAUCUCGGCUCUUGCAUCGAUGAAGAACGUAGCGAAAUGCGAUACUUGGUGUGAAUUGCAGAAUCCCGUGAACCAUCGAGUCUUUGAACGCAAGUUGCGCCCAAAGUCGUUAGGCUGAGGGCACGCCUGCCUGGGCGUCACGC